This 117-nucleotide ribosomal RNA is filed under the name Cercocebus atys (sooty mangabey). RNAcentral also lists the same sequence under 1 other name. The record is from RNAcentral. Lineage: Eukaryota; Metazoa; Chordata; Mammalia; Primates; Cercopithecidae.
UAUGGCCUUACCAACCUGAACAUGCCCAAUCUUAUCUGAUCUCAGAAGCUAAGCAGGGUUGGGCCUGGUUAGUACUUAGAUGGGAGAAACUUGGUGAGCACCAGCUCCAAGCCAGGU